This 493-nucleotide ribosomal RNA is filed under the name uncultured bacterium. RNAcentral describes it as "partial 16S ribosomal RNA". It matches the Rfam family "Bacterial small subunit ribosomal RNA", at positions 28 to 507 of the family's 1533-position model. The record is from RNAcentral.
GACGAACGCUGGCGGCGUGCUUAACACAUGCCAGUCGAACGGUGAAGGGACCGGUCUUUGCUGGUUCUGGAUGAGUGGCGAACGGGUGAGUAACACGUGAGUAACCUGCCCCCUUCUUCUGGAUAACCGCAUGAAAGUGUGGCUAAUACGGGAUAUUCUGCGCCUGCUGCAUGGUGGGUGUGGGAAAGAUAUUGUUUCGGUGGGGGAUGGGCUCGCGGCCUAUCAGCUUGUUGGUGGGGUGAUGGCCUACCAAGGCGGUGACGGGUAGCCGGCCUGAGAGGGUGGACGGUCACACUGGGACUGAGACACGGCCCAGACUCCUACGGGAGGCAGCAGUGGGGAAUAUUGCACAAUGGGCGCAAGCCUGAUGCAGCGACGCCGCGUGAGGGAUGGAGGCCUUCGGGUUGUAAACCUCUUUCGCCAGUGAAGCAGGCCUGUCCCUUUUGUGGGUGGGUUGACGGUAGCUGGAGAAGAAGCGCCGGCUAACUACGUG